RNA transcript from Cucurbita maxima (winter squash), 1969 nucleotides. It is a transcript of the gene named probable nucleoside diphosphate kinase 5, with no coding region annotated. Lineage: Eukaryota; Viridiplantae; Streptophyta; Magnoliopsida; Cucurbitales; Cucurbitaceae. The record is from RefSeq and is a predicted model, not a curated record. The transcript is spliced from 7 exons.
CCUCUCUCUCUCUCUCUCCCCCCCCCCCCCCCCCNUAAAACAAUGCCCGCGCCCCUCAUUUUGUAGCGCUUCAUACUUUCCCGCCAUUAUACUGAUCUACAAGUGCUCGAGUUUCUAUUGUCUUUCUUUCCGUUGCAGCUUCUCAAUCUCGAUUCGACGAAUCGCAGUUUCUCCCCAGGAUAUGGAGAUCCGUUUGGUUUUGCUCGGUUCGCGGUUUCUAUUUUUCUUCGUUCUCGUUUCUAUUGCAUUUUCUGGCAUAUUUGCAAGUAAUGGAGGUAUGGAAACGGAGAAAACAUUGGCUAUGAUAAAACCAGAUGGCUUGCGCGGUAACUACACCGAUAGAAUCAGAAGGGCCAUUGUGGAGUCUGGAUUCAGGAUUUUGAAGGACAGAGUAGUUGAAUUGGAUGAAGAUAGAGCAAGUCAAUUUUAUGCUGAACAUUCGUCGAAAAGCUUCUUUCCUUCUUUGGUCAAAUACAUGACGAGUGGCCCAGUAUGCGUUAUGGUUUUGGAGAAACAAAAUGCCAUUGCAGAUUGGCGUGCUAUGAUUGGGCCAACAGAUGCAACGAAAGCUAAGGCUACGCAUCCUAAUAGCAUUAGGGCAAUGUGUGGCUUGGAUUCAGAGAAAAACUGUGUUCAUGGUUCAGAUUCUCUUCAAUCAGCUCAUAGAGAGAUCUCAUUUUUCUUUGAAGAAACUGGUGCAUGAAUCCUAUUUUUUUUAUUGGGCGGUUAGCAUAGCAGUAUAUGAUGCCUUGCCCUGCUCUUCGGCAUUGAAGAGUUUGGUCAAAGAGUGAGACAUCUCAUUUAUCUCAGGUUUUUUAUCUCAGGUUUUGCUUUCCCUUCAUUAUUUUGAAUCCAUUUUAAUAUGUCAACCUUACUCCUGGCGGCCCAUUUAUAAACUGAAGUUUAUAUACAUAACAUUACAAGACCAGAAUUAUAAUCUUUAGCCUAUAAGGGAGAUCACCGAUGACUUAUUUGGCUGUUUGUAGAAGUCUAUUGACUAAACCCCAGGUUGUUUAAAUUAGUUUAGAUAGUGUAUUUCUUUCUAAAAUUUUAAUAUAAGAAUUUGUACGAAAUACUUGAGGGACACGAUAGAGCGUUUUAAACCAAGUAUGUAAGCACUAAUUAAGUUAGUACAACAGUGGUGAAGGUUUUUAAAGCCUCUUGGUUAGUAUAAGAUAUUAUCGGUAUUAGAAACGAUAGUACUCUAUGAUGUUAGAUGAGUUUGUGGCUGGUAUUCAAAGAGGUAACUGUUACUUUUCCCCUUUCCGUUGAAAAGAAGGUGUAGAGAUCCGAGAGUUGGCUUGGUUUGUGGCAUCUUUUUAGGAGCAAAGGCUCCGAGGAAAGAUUAAAGCUACAAUAUUUCAAUCCACCCGGUUGGUACGACUGAGUGAAUAACUUUGUCGUGACACGUGGCCUAAUAGGUUUCAAACUGGCCAUUUGCUGGGUGUUUCUCGGGCUUUGAUCUGGGUUCACUGUCUAAAUUUGAAAACAGUUCCUAGCGCUACUGUACAGUUAUUUAAGUCAUUAAAAGAUUGCCAAUAAGACUGCUAGUGCGAUGCUGUGUUUGGUCAAAUUUAUAUUGGAGUGAGAAGCUUGAAAACUAUACUACGAAUUAAAUAAGAAACAGGGCUUGUGAAAGAGAACACACCACUUUCUAUUUCUAUUGAUGAGGAUAGGAGUUACUCCAUUCAUUCCUCUGUUGUGUAGACCUAUAAAGAAUUCUUUUCUUAGGCCGUUUUCGAUUAGAGGGUUCCAUUCCUCGACUGGACUAGCAAUGUGUGAAAGGUAAUAACUUAAGGGACAAGUCCAGUACCCGUGUCUACACGGACAUGGUAGUGCUUUAUAUAGCAGACUCAACUUGGCCAAAAUUUUCAGGACCCAACACUCUUUCUUUUCUCUCUCAAUAAGCAACUAUCUUGUCUUUUUGUGAUGUUCCAUAUUGGUUGGAGAGGAGAACAAAAUACCCUUU